AUCUUUCAAAUCGCUGCAUGCUUAGUUAUACUCUGCUUCUGCUUUUGCUCAAUAGGUAGGAAUUUUGUUUUUUCUUCUAUUUCAAAAUUGAUUCAGUAUCAUUUUAAAAUCGAUUACGUAUUUUAAACAAUAAUUCAAAAGAUAAGGUAAAAUCACAUGAGUAUUGGGUGUUUAAUCCUAAUAUAUGGAAUUUGGCUUGCUUUUCUAUGGUUGAUUCUGAUUUUGGGUGAUUUUUGCUCUUUGGUUAUUAUUAUUAUUAUUACUACUAGAAGCUUGAUUGCCACACUGCUAAUCUGCUCCCAUUGAAGCUGCAGUUUUAAAUUUUUUUAGAUAUUAUUAUAAUUAGACAUUAAAUUUCAUGUUUUGAAAGUUUGAUAGAUAGGAGUAAUUUUGUUGGAAAUAAAAAUGAGAGGGAUAGUUACUAUACUGAAUGUAUUUAUGGACUUGAGAAAAGAUUUAAUACAAUUAACAGAGACCAAAAGGUAGUUAUUGAACCCAAUUCUCUUUCUUAUAUGUAAUAUAUUUAUAUGUAUUGGAUAUAUAAUAAAGAUUAUUAUUAAUAUGCAUAUUUGAGGCUGAUGGUGAUGUGUCUUUGGCUUGAUUCCCCCACCCUCUCUUUUGGCUUGAUUUUUUUAAAGUGAAGUUCAGUGUGAUUUGUGUGUCUUUCAAUUUUUUAGGUGUUAAAGUUAGGAAGCAAAUUGUGUUAGAUGGUCCGAUUAGCUGUGGAAAGAGCAUUGCACUUGCAAUGCUUGAUGCAAAAUCAGAGGAUCCAGUCAAGUUUUCAUUUUGUGAAGCAGAUGAAAAUGUUAGAGUAGCAUACUCAGAUUUGAUUACUUCUUCCAAGGAGACUUUAGAUUCUAUAUUGGAACUCCAAGAGGUCUAGAGAGGUCAUCAAAAGAUUUGGAAGUCUCUACGAAUUUGGUCACAGAUUUCUCAGACACAAGCGGUAUUAUUGUAAUUUUUAAAAUAGCAUCAUCCAGAGACAAGUCAAUCAACAAAUGGCAGAGGAUAACACAAGUGACAACUGGUGCUGCUGCCAUUAAAGGCAAAUUGCAUGCGUUUAAUCAGGAUAUAACUAAUCAAGUCGCUGCUUAUAUGAGGGACCCCAGUAGAAUGAUCAAACAGAUGCGGUUGAGAAAAUCUACUGUUAGUGUAUUUGAAUCUCUAAGUUGGUCGCUUAAUCUUAGUUGUUAUAGAAGCGUUUUGUGGAUUCCAGAGUAUGCUAAGCUUUACUUUUAACCAUCAUCUCUACUCACUGGCAUAUAUCUCCACUAAACCCUAAACCCAAAUAGGAACGAGCAAUACCAUUUUUUCAGGCAUUACUUACAAUCUUAGAGACCAAACGAGGUUUGUUACCAUGGUGAAGUGGAUUAACUGAUUAAGUCAUCAUAAUUAGUAAAACUAUAUUACAUGGAUUAAGCAUGAACAUAUAUGUUGAUUUAUUAAUACAAGUUGCUAGGGAGGAUCUAGAGACUUUAUAUGCAGAGGCAAAUGCAUAUGCUCUGGCAUCACACAUUUUCUGGGCAUUGUGGGCUCUAAUUCAGGCAAAGGUGUCUCCAAUCGAUUUUGAUUAUCUUGGUUACUUUUUUCUUCGAUACAAAGAGUACAAAAGGUAGAAAGACAUGUACUUGUUGCUGGCAAGAUCCUAUAUUGCUGGAUGCAAAAUUAAUGGCAACAUUCAUUCGGAUCAAACUCGUCUAAAGUGAAGACAGUGACAAAGCAAAGAGCUAAUGUUUUGGUGGCUACGGUAACUAUAAUGGAGAAUGUUGUGUCCUGCAGGAGUAGUUUUAAAAUGUUGUGGUCAUGAAGGUGUACCAAACUUCUCAAUCUAUUUUUUUUUUAAAUUGCUAAACUGAAACCAUAAAAUUCCUUGUAAUGACUGAGACAUUGAAUCUUAUGGGUUAUGAUUUCUUACUAAACUUCUCAAUCU
Non-coding RNA from Arachis ipaensis, 1930 nucleotides. NCBI's taxonomy places the organism in Eukaryota, Viridiplantae, Streptophyta, Magnoliopsida, Fabales, Fabaceae. The record is from RefSeq and is a predicted model, not a curated record.